This 254-nucleotide unclassified non-coding RNA is filed under the name uncultured Planctomycetota bacterium. RNAcentral describes it as "uncultured planctomycete contains 16S-23S intergenic spacer region". It matches the Rfam family "Bacterial small subunit ribosomal RNA", at positions 524 to 776 of the family's 1533-position model. The record is from RNAcentral. Lineage: Bacteria; Pseudomonadati; Planctomycetota.
UACGUAGGUGGCAAGCGUUGUUCGGAAUCAUUGGGCAUAAAGGGUCCGUAGGCGGCCUGUUAAGUUGGAUGUGAAAGCCCUACGGCUCAACCGAGGAAUUGCGUCCAAAACUGGCAGGCUUGAGGGUCGGAGGGGAGAGCAGAAUUCCUGGUGGAGCGGUGAAAUGCGUAGAUAUCAGGAGGAAUGCCGGUGGCGAAGGCGGCUCUCUGGACGAUUUCUGACGCUGAGGGACGAAAGCCAGGGGAGCAAACGGG